GUACUGCUGACGAGUCCCAAACUAGGACGAAAUGCUUUUCGAGUAC
This 46-nucleotide non-coding RNA is filed under the name Trichobilharzia regenti. The record is from RNAcentral. Lineage: Eukaryota; Metazoa; Platyhelminthes; Trematoda; Strigeidida; Schistosomatidae.